Molecule: ribosomal RNA, 484 nt
Filed under: uncultured bacterium
Lineage: Bacteria
Description: partial 16S ribosomal RNA
Rfam family: Bacterial small subunit ribosomal RNA
Source: RNAcentral
AUUGAACGCUGGCGGCAGGCCUAACACAUGCAAGUCGAGCGGAUGAAGGGAGCUUGCUCCUGGAUUCAGCGGCGGACGGGUGAGUAAUGCCUAGGAAUCUCCCUGGUAGUGGGGGAUAACGUCCGGAAACGGGCGCUAAUACCGCCUACGUCCUGAGGGAGCAAGCGGGGGAUCUUCGGACCUCACGCUCUCAGAUGAGCCUAGGUCGGAUUAGCUAGUUGGUGGGGUAAAGGCCUACCAAGGCGACGAUCCGUAACUGGUCUGAGAGGAUGAUCGGUCACACUGGAACUGAGACACAGUCAAGGCUCCUACGGGAGGCAGCAGUGGGGAAUAUUGGACAAUGGGCGACAGCCUGAUCCAGCCAUGGCGCGUGUGUGAAGAAGGUCUUCGGAUUGUAAAGCACUUUAAGUUGGGAGGAAGAGCAGUAAGUUAAUACCUUGCUGUUUUGACGUUACCAACAGAAUAAGCACCGGCUAACUUCGUG